RNAcentral lists this ribosomal RNA (253 nucleotides) under uncultured bacterium. RNAcentral describes it as "partial 16S ribosomal RNA". It matches the Rfam family "Bacterial small subunit ribosomal RNA", at positions 524 to 776 of the family's 1533-position model. The record is from RNAcentral.
UACGUAGGGUGCGAGCGUUGUCCGGAAUUAUUGGGCGUAAAGGGCUCGUAGGCGGUCUGUUGCGUCAGGAGUGAAAACUCGGGGCUUAACCCCGAGCCUGCUUCUGAUACGGGCAGACUAGAGGUAUGCAGGGGAGAACGGAAUUCCUGGUGUAGCGGUGAAAUGCGCAGAUAUCAGGAGGAACACCGGUGGCGAAGGCGAGUCCCUGGACAGGUCCUGACGCUGAGGCACGAAAGCCAGGGGAGCAAACGGG